GGGUUGUGAGGUUAAGCGACUAAGCGUACACGGUGGAUGCCCUGGCAGUCAGAGGCGAUGAAGGACGUGCUAAUCUGCGAUAAGCGUCGGUAAGGUGAUAUGAACCGUUAUAACCGGCGAUUUCCGAAUGGGGAAACCCAGUGUGUUUCGACACACUAUCAUUAACUGAAUCCAUAGGUUAAUGAGGCGAACCGGGGGAACUGAAACAUCUAAGUACCCCGAGGAAAAGAAAUCAACCGAGAUUCCCCCAGUAGCGGCGAGCGAACGGGGAGCAGCCCAGAGCCUGAAUCAGUAUGUGUGUUAGUGGAAGCGUCUGGAAAGGCGCGCGAUACAGGGUGACAGCCCCGUACACAAAAAUGCACAUGCUGUGAGCUCGAUGAGUAGGGCGGGACACGUGGUAUCCUGUCUGAAUAUGGGGGACCAUCCUCCAAGGCUAAAUACUCCUGACUGACCGAUAGUGAACCAGUACCGUGAGGGAAAGGCGAAAAGAACCCCGGCGAGGGGAGUGAAAAAGAACCUGAAACCGUGUACGUACAAGCAGUGGGAGCACGCUUAGGCGUGUGACUGCGUACCUUUUGUAUAAUGGGUCAGCGACUUAUAUUCUGUAGCAAGGUUAACCGAAUAGGGGAGCCGAAGGGAAACCGAGUCUUAACUGGGCGUUAAGUUGCAGGGUAUAGACCCGAAACCCGGUGAUCUAGCCAUGGGCAGGUUGAAGGUUGGGUAACACUAACUGGAGGACCGAACCGACUAAUGUUGAAAAAUUAGCGGAUGACUUGUGGCUGGGGGUGAAAGGCCAAUCAAACCGGGAGAUAGCUGGUUCUCCCCGAAAGCUAUUUAGGUAGCGCCUCGUGAAUUCAUCUCCGGGGGUAGAGCACUGUUUCGGCAAGGGGGUCAUCCCGACUUACCAACCCGAUGCAAACUGCGAAUACCGGAGAAUGUUAUCACGGGAGACACACGGCGGGUGCUAACGUCCGUCGUGAAGAGGGAAACAACCCAGACCGCCAGCUAAGGUCCCAAAGUCAUGGUUAAGUGGGAAACGAUGUGGGAAGGCCCAGACAGCCAGGAUGUUGGCUUAGAAGCAGCCAUCAUUUAAAGAAAGCGUAAUAGCUCACUGGUCGAGUCGGCCUGCGCGGAAGAUGUAACGGGGCUAAACCAUGCACCGAAGCUGCGGCAGCGACGCUGAUGCGUUGUUGGGUAGGGGAGCGUUCUGUAAGCCUGCGAAGGUGUGCUGUGAGGCAUGCUGGAGGUAUCAGAAGUGCGAAUGCUGACAUAAGUAACGAUAAAGCGGGUGAAAAGCCCGCUCGCCGGAAGACCAAGGGUUCCUGUCCAACGUUAAUCGGGGCAGGGUGAGUCGACCCCUAAGGCGAGGCCGAAAGGCGUAGUCGAUGGGAAACAGGUUAAUAUUCCUGUACUUGGUGUUACUGCGAAGGGGGGACGGAGAAGGCUAUGUUGGCCGGGCGACGGUUGUCCCGGUUUAAGCGUGUAGGCUGGUUUUCCAGGCAAAUCCGGAAAAUCAAGGCUGAGGCGUGAUGACGAGGCACUACGGUGCUGAAGCAACAAAUGCCCUGCUUCCAGGAAAAGCCUCUAAGCAUCAGGUAACAUCAAAUCGUACCCCAAACCGACACAGGUGGUCAGGUAGAGAAUACCAAGGCGCUUGAGAGAACUCGGGUGAAGGAACUAGGCAAAAUGGUGCCGUAACUUCGGGAGAAGGCACGCUGAUAUGUAGGUGAAGUCCCUCGCGGAUGGAGCUGAAAUCAGUCGAAGAUACCAGCUGGCUGCAACUGUUUAUUAAAAACACAGCACUGUGCAAACACGAAAGUGGACGUAUACGGUGUGACGCCUGCCCGGUGCCGGAAGGUUAAUUGAUGGGGUUAGCGCAAGCGAAGCUCUUGAUCGAAGCCCCGGUAAACGGCGGCCGUAACUAUAACGGUCCUAAGGUAGCGAAAUUCCUUGUCGGGUAAGUUCCGACCUGCACGAAUGGCGUAAUGAUGGCCAGGCUGUCUCCACCCGAGACUCAGUGAAAUUGAACUCGCUGUGAAGAUGCAGUGUACCCGCGGCAAGACGGAAAGACCCCGUGAACCUUUACUAUAGCUUGACACUGAACAUUGAGCCUUGAUGUGUAGGAUAGGUGGGAGGCUUUGAAGUGUGGACGCCAGUCUGCAUGGAGCCGACCUUGAAAUACCACCCUUUAAUGUUUGAUGUUCUAACGUUGACCCGUAAUCCGGGUUGCGGACAGUGUCUGGUGGGUAGUUUGACUGGGGCGGUCUCCUCCUAAAGAGUAACGGAGGAGCACGAAGGUUGGCUAAUCCUGGUCGGACAUCAGGAGGUUAGUGCAAUGGCAUAAGCCAGCUUGACUGCGAGCGUGACGGCGCGAGCAGGUGCGAAAGCAGGUCAUAGUGAUCCGGUGGUUCUGAAUGGAAGGGCCAUCGCUCAACGGAUAAAAGGUACUCCGGGGAUAACAGGCUGAUACCGCCCAAGAGUUCAUAUCGACGGCGGUGUUUGGCACCUCGAUGUCGGCUCAUCACAUCCUGGGGCUGAAGUAGGUCCCAAGGGUAUGGCUGUUCGCCAUUUAAAGUGGUACGCGAGCUGGGUUUAGAACGUCGUGAGACAGUUCGGUCCCUAUCUGCCGUGGGCGCUGGAGAACUGAGGGGGGCUGCUCCUAGUACGAGAGGACCGGAGUGGACGCAUCACUGGUGUUCGGGUUGUCAUGCCAAUGGCACUGCCCGGUAGCUAAAUGCGGAAGAGAUAAGUGCUGAAAGCAUCUAAGCACGAAACUUGCCCCGAGAUGAGUUCUCCCUGACUCCUUGAGAGUCCUGAAGGAACGUUGAAGACGACGACGUUGAUAGGCCGGGUGUGUAAGCGCAGCGAUGCGUUGAGCUAACCGGUACUAAUGAACCGUGAGGCUUAACCUUACAACGCCGAAGGUGUUU
RNAcentral lists this ribosomal RNA (2930 nucleotides) under Escherichia coli. RNAcentral's name for it is "23S ribosomal RNA". It matches the Rfam family "Bacterial large subunit ribosomal RNA". The record is from RNAcentral. Lineage: Bacteria; Pseudomonadati; Pseudomonadota; Gammaproteobacteria; Enterobacterales; Enterobacteriaceae.